UACGUAGGAUGCGAGCGUUAUCCGGAUUUAUUGGGUUUAAAGGGUGCGUAGGCGGACGCUUAAGUCAGCGGUAAAAUUGCGGGGCUCAACCUCGUCGAGCCGUUGAAACUGGGUGUCUUGAGUGGGCGAGAAGUACGCGGAAUGCGUGGUGUAGCGGUGAAAUGCAUAGAUAUCACGCAGAACUCCGAUCGCGAAGGCAGCGUACCGGCGCCCAACUGACGCUGAAGCACGAAGGCGUGGGUAUCGAACAGG
RNAcentral lists this ribosomal RNA (252 nucleotides) under uncultured bacterium. RNAcentral's name for it is "partial 16S ribosomal RNA". It matches the Rfam family "Bacterial small subunit ribosomal RNA", at positions 524 to 776 of the family's 1533-position model. The record is from RNAcentral.